UGGCAGGUCAGCAUACUGCCGUGAAUACGUUCCCGGGCCUUGUACACACCGCCCGUCACACCAUGAGAGUUGGGGAUACCCGAAGCCUGUGAGCUAACUAGUUUAUAGGAGCAGCAGUCGAAGGUAGAAUCAAUGAUUGGGGUGAAGUCGUAACAAGGUACC
This 162-nucleotide ribosomal RNA is filed under the name uncultured bacterium. Its description in RNAcentral is "partial 16S ribosomal RNA". It matches the Rfam family "Bacterial small subunit ribosomal RNA", at positions 1342 to 1500 of the family's 1533-position model. The record is from RNAcentral.